RNAcentral lists this ribosomal RNA (222 nucleotides) under Burkholderia gladioli. RNAcentral describes it as "partial 23S ribosomal RNA". It matches the Rfam family "Bacterial large subunit ribosomal RNA", at positions 1 to 219 of the family's 2925-position model. Lineage: Bacteria; Pseudomonadati; Pseudomonadota; Betaproteobacteria; Burkholderiales; Burkholderiaceae. The record is from RNAcentral.
GUUAUAGGGUCAAGCGAACAAGUGCAUGUGGUGGAUGCCUUGGCGAUCACAGGCGAUGAAGGACGCGGUAGCCUGCGAAAAGCUACGGGGAGCUGGCAAACAAGCUUUGAUCCGUAGAUGUCCGAAUGGGGAAACCCACUCCUUUUGGAGUAUCCAUAGCUGAAUACAUAGGCUAUGUGAAGCGAACGCGGUGAACUGAAACAUCUAAGUAACCGCAGGAAA